RNAcentral lists this long non-coding RNA (863 nucleotides) under Elaeis guineensis (African oil palm). RNAcentral describes it as "long non-coding RNA (EGUI_LNC041404)". The record is from RNAcentral. Lineage: Eukaryota; Viridiplantae; Streptophyta; Magnoliopsida; Arecales; Arecaceae.
GAUUGAACAAAUCUAAACGUGACUGGCAAGAGAAAAAUCAUUUACGAAAAAAAAAUAAUAUUUGAAAGGGCAUUCAUACAAUAUACAAAUUUACAGGUUAUAUAUGCGAAAUGACUCUUUCUUUUAUCAUUUAUAGGUACAUUGUUUAUGACAGAAUGGAAGUCAAACAAACCUUACAAACUAAAUACAGAUUACACAACUACCCAAACCACAAGCAGUAACAGUAUUUUUUGCAGAACUCCACUGGAUAAUAAAAUUUUAAUUUUCAUCUGUUAAGGCAAAGAAAAUUGCAGCAGAAAUAAACAUGCCCAAUACGUACAUGAAUGACAUAGAUGAUGAAAGAACAAACGAAAAAAAAGACCACAUAUUCACAGUUGGAUCAAGCUGAGACCAGCUGAGCUCCAAUUAAACGAAUGAUUCAGUAAACAAGGAAUUGUGAUGUUAUGGUGGACUGCUAAAGCAUAGUAAAAUCAAAAUUAUGUUCCGAUAUAACCACACCACAUCAAACAGUCCAAAGAUGGCUAUAGCCAGUUGUACCAUCUCCAUAUAUCACAUAGUUUAGAUAUAUAAUAUCUAGGAGUGAAACAGAACUCAGCUCUGUUGCAGGCUAAAUAAAUAAAGCUAGUUAAAAAGGCAGGGAAUUGAUACUUGGAAGAUCUUCGCACUUGUAACCUAGUGACUAAUCACUGUUUACAGAGACCAACAUGAUAGAUUGGCUAAUGCAAAUGAAGAACAAAAACAAAGUGGAAUUGCUUACUAAGUCAAGUAAUUGCAACAAGAAGGUAGAGAACCUAAAUAGAUGUAGUGCAACAGUGCCCCGAAGGUCCAUGACAGGUCUCCGUUUCCCUUCAAAAAAUGAACUG